UACAGAGGAGCCAAGCGUUGUCCGGAUUGACUGGGCGUAAAGCGCACGCAGGCGGAUGCGCGCGUGGGGUGUGAAAUCUGGCCGCUUAACGGCCAGGCGCCAUCCCAUACGGCGCGUCUGGAGUGAUGCAGAGGUCGGUGGAAUUGCCGGUGUAGUGGUGAAAUGCGUAGAGAUCGGGAGGAACAUCAGUGGCGAAGGCGGCCUUCUGGACCAGUACUGACGCUGAGGCACGAAAGCGUGGGGAGCAAACAGG
Molecule: ribosomal RNA, 253 nt
Filed under: uncultured bacterium
Lineage: Bacteria
Description: partial 16S ribosomal RNA
Rfam family: Bacterial small subunit ribosomal RNA
Source: RNAcentral